This 380-nucleotide long non-coding RNA is filed under the name Monodelphis domestica (gray short-tailed opossum). RNAcentral describes it as "lncRNA (ENSMODG00000035284.2)". Lineage: Eukaryota; Metazoa; Chordata; Mammalia; Didelphimorphia; Didelphidae. The record is from RNAcentral.
AUUCAAGGCAGUCUCCAAAUUCUAAUGACAGAGGUCUGAGCCCGUACAGAUCCAGUCCCCUGAACUAGGCUUAGCCAUAUCACCAUGUUGCGGGAAGCCUGUCAAGAAAGAUUGUAUCCACCACCAUUAUGACUCAGAAGAUUUUUUUUACCAUGUUCCUAUUUUUUUUUUACCUUUUGUGGAUCCAGAGAAACCCCUUGAAGAGAAUUUGGAACUCUGACUCUAGAACCCUAGGAAGAAUGCCAAUGGGACUGAGCAGUCCAUCCUGAUGUGUGGGAAGUUAAAUCUCCAAGAGAGACUACGCCAUUUAUAAAUGGUCUCGGAAAAGCACAAGAUGUUUGGUAUGAAAUAAUAAAUCAGUGGAAUUUCAGUGGAAAUCA